UACAGGGGGUGCAAGCGUUAUUCGGAAUUACUGGGCGUAAAGCGCAUGUAGGCGGCUAGGUAAGUCUGGUGUGAAAUCCCGAAGCUUAACUUCGGAAGUGCAUUGGAUACUGCCUGGCUAGAGGAUGGGAGAGGAGAGCGGAAUUCCUGGUGUAGGGGUGAAAUCCGUAGAUAUCAGGAGGAACACCGGUGGCGAAGGCGGGUCUCUGGGCCGUUACUGACGCUGAGGAGCGAAAGCAUGGGGAGCGAACAGG
Molecule: ribosomal RNA, 253 nt
Filed under: uncultured bacterium
Lineage: Bacteria
Description: partial 16S ribosomal RNA
Rfam family: Bacterial small subunit ribosomal RNA
Source: RNAcentral